CCUACGGGAGGCAGCAGUAGGGAAUAUUGCCCAAUGGGGGAAACCCUGAAGCAGCAACGCCGCGUGGAGGAUGAAGGUUUUCGGAUCGUAAAUUCCUUUUGUUAGAGAAGAUAAUGACGGUAUCUAACGAAUAAGCACCGGCUAACUACGUGCCAGCAGCCGAGGUAAUACGGAGGGUGCAAGCAUUACUCGGAAUCUCUGGGCGUAAAGAGCGCGUAGGAGGGAUAGCAAGUCAGAUGUGAAAUCCUAUGGCUUAACCAUAGAACUGCAUUUGAAACUGUUAUUCUAGAGUAUGGGAGAGGUAGGUGGAAUUCUUGGUGUAGGGGUAAAAUCCGUAGAGAUCGAGAGGAAUACUCAUUGCGAAGGCGACCUGCUAGAACAUAACUGACGCUGAUGCGCGAAAGCGUGGGGAGCAAACAGGAUUAGAUACCCCUGUAGUC
RNAcentral lists this ribosomal RNA (440 nucleotides) under uncultured bacterium. Its description in RNAcentral is "partial 16S ribosomal RNA". It matches the Rfam family "Bacterial small subunit ribosomal RNA", at positions 338 to 795 of the family's 1533-position model. The record is from RNAcentral.